GAUCCUAGCUUAGGAUGAACGCUAGCUACAGGCUUAACACAUGCAAGUCGAGGGGCAGCGAGAGGAAAGCUUGCUUCCUUGUCGGCGACCGGCGCACGGGUGAGUAACGCGUAUCCAACCUUCCCCUUAGUAGGGCAUAGCCCGGUGAAAAUCGGAUUAAUACCCUAUGUUAUUCGUCGAGGACAUCUGAAGUGAAUCAAAGAUUUAUCGCUAAGGGAUGGGGAUGCGUCUGAUUAGGUAGUCGGCGGGGUAACGGCCCACCGAGCCAUCGAUCAGUAGGGGUUCUGAGAGGAAGGUCCCCCACACUGGUACUGAGACACGGACCAGACUCCUACGGGAGGCAGCAGUGAGGAAUAUUGGUCAAUGGGCGCGAGCCUGAACCAGCCAAAAGUAGCGUGCAGGAUGACGGCCCUAUGGGUUGUAAACUGCUUUUAUACGGGGAUAAAGUGAGGGACGUGUCCCUUUUUGUAGGUACCGUAUGAAUAAGGACCGGCUAAUUCCGUGCCAGCAGCCGC
Molecule: ribosomal RNA, 515 nt
Filed under: uncultured bacterium
Lineage: Bacteria
Description: bacterial SSU rRNA
Rfam family: Bacterial small subunit ribosomal RNA
Source: RNAcentral